Molecule: ribosomal RNA, 1400 nt
Filed under: uncultured bacterium
Lineage: Bacteria
Description: 16S ribosomal RNA
Rfam family: Bacterial small subunit ribosomal RNA
Source: RNAcentral
AACGCUGGCGGCGUGCUUAACACAUGCAAGUCGAACGGUGAAAGGGACCUCGCUUUUGUGGGUCCUUGGAUGAGUCGGCGAACGGGUGAGUAACACGUGAGUAACCUGCCCCCUUCUUCUGGAUAACCGCAUGAAAGUGUGGCUAAUACGGGAUAUUCUGUGCCUGCUGCAUGGUGGGUGUGGGAAAGAUGCGCCUUUGGGUGUUUUUGGUGGGGGAUGGGCUCGCGGCCUAUCAGCUUGUUGGUGGGGUGAUGGCCUACCAAGGCGGUGACGGGUAGCCGGCCUGAGAGGGUGGACGGUCACACUGGGACUGAGACACGGCCCAGACUCCUACGGGAGGCAGCAGUGGGGAAUAUUGCACAAUGGGCGCAAGCCUGAUGCAGCGACGCCGCGUGAGGGAUGGAGGCCUUCGGGUUGUAAACCUCUUUCGCCAGUGAAGCAGGCCUGUCCCUUGUGGUUGGGUUGACGGUAGCUGGAUAAGAAGCGCCGGCUAACUACGUGCCAGCAGCCGCGGUAAUACGUAGGGCGCGAGCGUUGUCCGGAAUUAUUGGGCGUAAAGAGCUCGUAGGCGGCUGGUCGCGUCUGUCGUGAAAUCCUCUGGCUUAACUGGGGGCUUGCGGUGGGUACGGGCCGGCUUGAGUGCGGUAGGGGAGACUGGAACUCCUGGUGUAGCGGUGGAAUGCGCAGAUAUCAGGAAGAACACCGGUGGCGAAGGCGGGUCUCUGGGCCGUUACUGACGCUGAGGAGCGAAAGCGUGGGGAGCGAACAGGAUUAGAUACCCUGGUAGUCCACGCCGUAAACGUUGGGCACUAGGUGUGGGGGGCCUUUUCCGGGUCUUCCGCGCCGUAGCUAACGCAUUAAGUGCCCCGCCUGGGGAGUACGGCCGCAAGGCUAAAACUCAAAGGAAUUGACGGGGGCCCGCACAAGCGGCGGAGCAUGCGGAUUAAUUCGAUGCAACGCGAAGAACCUUACCAAGGCUUGACAUGUGCCGGUCGGCUCCGGAGACGGGGUUUCCUCCUUGUGGGGCCGGUUCACAGGUGGUGCAUGGUUGUCGUCAGCUCGUGUCGUGAGAUGUUGGGUUAAGUCCCGCAACGAGCGCAACCCUUGUCCCGUGUCGCCAGCACGUUGUGGUGGGGACUCGCGGGAGACUGCCGGGGUCAACUCGGAGGAAGGUGGGGAUGACGUCAAAUCAUCAUGCCCCUUAUGUCUUGGGCUUCACGCAUGCUACAAUGGCCGGUACAGAGGGCUGCGAUACCGUGAGGUGGAGCGAAUCCCUUAAAGCCGGUCUCAGUUCGGAUCGGUGUCUGCAACUCGACACCGUGAAGUUGGAGUCGCUAGUAAUCGCAGAUCAGCAACGCUGCGGUGAAUACGUUCUCGGGCCUUGCACACACCGCCCGUCA